This 191-nucleotide microRNA precursor is filed under the name Oryza sativa Japonica Group (Japanese rice). RNAcentral describes it as "MIR812 microRNA precursor family". It matches the Rfam family "MIR812 microRNA precursor family". Lineage: Eukaryota; Viridiplantae; Streptophyta; Magnoliopsida; Poales; Poaceae. The record is from Rfam by way of RNAcentral.
AAAAAAAUAAACCAUGGGUUUCCGUGUCCAACUUUGACUGUCCGUCUUAUAUGAAAUUUUUUUAUAAUUCGUAUUUUCAUUGUUGUUAGAUGAUAAAACAUAAUUAAUAUUUUAUGCGUGACUUGUCUUUUUAAUUUUUUUCAUAUUUUUUUUCAAAUAAGACGGACGGUCAAAUGUUGGACACGAAAACC